CCUUUUGUAUAAUGGGUCAGCGACUUAUAUUCUGUAGCAAGGUUAACCGAAUAGGGGAGCCGAAGGGAAACCGAGUCUUAACUGGGCGUUAAGUUGCAGGGUAUAGACCCGAAACCCGGUGAUCUAGCCAUGGGCAGGUUGAAGGUUGGGUAACACUAACUGGAGGACCGAACCGACUAAUGUUGAAAAAUUAGCGGAUGACUUGUGGCUGGGGGUGAAAGGCCAAUCAAACCGGGAGAUAGCUGGUUCUCCCCGAAAGCUAUUUAGGUAGCGCCUCGUGAAUUCAUCUCCGGGGGUAGAGCACUGUUUCGGCAAGGGGGUCAUCCCGACUUACCAACCCGAUGCAAACUGCGAAUACCGGAGAAUGUUAUCACGGGAGACACACGGCGGGUGCUAACGUCCGUCGUGAAGAGGGAAACAACCCAGACCGCCAGCUAAGGUCCCAAAGUCAUGGUUAAGUGGGAAACGAUGUGGGAAGGCCCAGACAGCCAGGAUGUUGGCUUAGAAGCAGCCAUCAUUUAAAGAAAGCGUAAUAGCUCACUGGUCGAGUCGGCCUGCGCGGAAGAUGUAACGGGGCUAAACCAUGCACCGAAGCUGCGGCAGCGACGCUUAUGCGUUGUUGGGUAGGGGAGCGUUCUGUAAGCCUGUGAAGGUGUGCUGUGAGG
This 665-nucleotide ribosomal RNA is filed under the name Escherichia coli. RNAcentral describes it as "partial 23S ribosomal RNA". It matches the Rfam family "Bacterial large subunit ribosomal RNA", at positions 604 to 1268 of the family's 2925-position model. The record is from RNAcentral. Lineage: Bacteria; Pseudomonadati; Pseudomonadota; Gammaproteobacteria; Enterobacterales; Enterobacteriaceae.